AUGAGAAAAAAAAGAUCUCCCUACGAGACUUCUUCCUCCUCCCGAUUGGAGAUAGUCCUAGCGCUCCUCCUCCUCAUCGUUCCUCCUCCUCCUCUCCCAUCUGCCAUUGGAGAGAGCCCUAGCGCUGAACCUCAUUGGAGUCCUCCUCCUGUCCCAUCUGCAGUCUUUAUGCAACAAUCAUCUGAUGGGAUCCAACCAGCCUCUUCCCAAUCUCCUUAUUCUACUAUCGCUUGCAUCUCCUUUAUCCCAAGCUCCCAACGACGAUGCAAUUCAUGUUGGCUGAGGAGGAGGUCCUUCAAUCACCUUAGCUUCUGUGCCCCGACGAAACAGAAACUGACAUUGGGCGAUGCAGUGGAGAAAAUCAAGUUGAGAAUAAUUCAGUACCUGGCCGCAGCCGCAAGACUCCGAUUGGCGAGGCGAUCUGUAAGGAACAUGUGCUAA
RNAcentral lists this ribosomal RNA (441 nucleotides) under Triticum aestivum (bread wheat). RNAcentral's name for it is "partial small subunit ribosomal RNA". Lineage: Eukaryota; Viridiplantae; Streptophyta; Magnoliopsida; Poales; Poaceae. The record is from RNAcentral.